AUUGAACGCUGGCGGCAGGCCUAACACAUGCAAGUCGAGCGGAAGAAGGGGGCUUGCUCCUGGAUUCAGCGGCGGACGGGUGAGAAAUGCCUAGGAAUCUGCCUUGACGUGGGGGAUAACGUCCGGAAACGGGCGCUAAUACCGCAUACGUCGUGAGGGCGCAAGUGGGGGAUCUUCGGACCUCACGCUAUCAGAUGAGCGCAGAUGGGAUUAGCUAGUACGUGGGGUAACGGCCUUACAAGGCGGCGAUCCGUAACUGGUCUGAGAGGAUGAUCACGCACACUGUAUGUGAGACACGGUCGAGACUCCGACGGGAGGACGCAGUGGGGAAUAUUGGACAAUGGGGGAAAGGCGGAUCCAGCCAUGUCGCGUGUGUGAAGAAGGUCUUAGGAUUGGAAAGUACUUUAAGUUGGGAGGAAGUGCAGUACGUUAAUACCUUGCUGUUUUGACGUUACCAACAGAAUAAGCACCGGCUAACUUCGUG
RNAcentral lists this ribosomal RNA (484 nucleotides) under uncultured bacterium. RNAcentral describes it as "partial 16S ribosomal RNA". It matches the Rfam family "Bacterial small subunit ribosomal RNA", at positions 30 to 507 of the family's 1533-position model. The record is from RNAcentral.